UGACCAAUCAUAUCUUUUCUCUAAAUGGGCGGGCCUUGUUAUCACUAACUUUAUGACAAGUUCCGCCCGAUAGAAUCUUUAUUGGAAAAAAAAUAUAUACGCUGAUAAAGCUAACUAUUAUUCACGUCACAAUGGAAGCAGCGAAUAACAUAAGGUGAAUGCAGAAACUCAUUAAAAUCCCCAGUCAGGAUGGACCGCAGUGUCAUAUUACGUAACGGUUAUCUAUAUCUGAGCUGGACAGUGAUGUGUUCGGGGAUGUGGAGACUGUGUCACUUCGCUUCCAGCAGAUUCUUUCAAAACCUAUUUUGGCAUGAUGAGUUUACCUAAGCAGUGCAUGCUGAUAAGAGAAGAGACAACUCACAUACAGCUGAAAGUGAAAAUGGAUCGCUAAACAGCACCAAUGAAGAGGACGAAAUGGAGUCACGGCAAUUGUAAAAUCUCAUCAGUGUUUGGUUUCCAAGGGCACAUCUACUGAAAAUGGAAAUGUAGACACAUCAGUGAAUGCUGUUUUCUCUUAGUGAUCAGCAAUCACUGAUGUGAUAUGAGAGAAAUCUUAAUCAGAAGGCUCAAUUUUGCCUUUCCAUAGAAUGUUUAGCAUGUUUCUCAGAUUGAAAUUGAAGAUUUUCAAUCCCCCAGGGCCUGAUUCAGUAUGAUCAUGAGAGGAAUUGACAGCGACAAAAGCUUACCUAAUGAGUCCUUGUUUCAUUCAUCAAAUAGUGUUGACUGCAUGACUUACAGUAUAUUCUUUGCUCAAGGCCAUAUCAGCAUUGGGCAGAAUCAGGUAUUGCUGUUGCAUCUACACAGGACUUCAUAAACAUCCUUGUUUCACUAUGUCUGUGAAAAUUUGGCUAAUCUUUGAUGCUAUCACAGGGAGCAACACAAAGUCGAUUCUGUGUUAAGUUGAUCUAAUAUUUAAUUAAAUGGAAUUGAUUUAUGUAGCUUUUGAGAAUCGUUAUAAUUACAAAAAAAAGGUCUUGUUAAUGAUUUUCUGUUUUGUUAAAGCCUAAAGGUAAUGUAAUCAACAGUAUUUUAUGGGAUCUUUCAGAAUGCUUGCU
This is a long non-coding RNA of Cyprinus carpio (common carp), 1055 nucleotides long. RefSeq lists it as uncharacterized. NCBI's taxonomy places the organism in Eukaryota, Metazoa, Chordata, Actinopteri, Cypriniformes, Cyprinidae. The transcript has 3 exons. The record is from RefSeq and is a predicted model, not a curated record.